UACGGGGGGGGCAAGCGUUGUUCGGAAUUACUGGGCGUAAAGGGCUCGUAGGCGGCCAACUAAGUCAGACGUGAAAUCCCCAGGCUCAACCUGGGAACUGCGUCUGAUACUGGAUGGCUUGAGUACAGACGAGGUUGGCGGAAUUGAUUGUGUAGCGGUGAAAUGCAUAGAUACAAUCAAGAACUCCGAUUGCGUAGGCAGCUAACUAGGCUGUAACUGACGCUGAGGCACGAAAGCGUGGGGAGCGAACAGG
RNAcentral lists this ribosomal RNA (253 nucleotides) under uncultured bacterium. RNAcentral describes it as "partial 16S ribosomal RNA". It matches the Rfam family "Bacterial small subunit ribosomal RNA", at positions 524 to 776 of the family's 1533-position model. The record is from RNAcentral.